RNAcentral lists this long non-coding RNA (2910 nucleotides) under Podarcis lilfordi (Lilford's wall lizard). The stretch from base 555 to 625 matches the Rfam family "tRNA". Lineage: Eukaryota; Metazoa; Chordata; Lepidosauria; Squamata; Lacertidae. The record is from RNAcentral.
GAAGUGAGUCACCCUCAUAUGUGCUUGAAAUGAAUGAACUUUUAGCCCUUUGAAUUUUUCCUAAAGGCAAGAGUGUCAACAACAAAAUGGCACAGAGUAACUAAUUAACAAACUCUGCCACUGUGAUUGCUUAACCACAUUCUGCGACAUCUGGCAUUGUUGAAAAGCUGCUGUGAAACAACGGGAAUUAUUCCCAAAAUAACUGUACAGAUGGGUUUAUGCAGAUAAGGAAGACAGUUCUCUUCAUCUGCCAUUGGGUGGAGAAGUCAUGAGUUGCGCAUGCAACAGGGUGAAGGGAGAAACCAAGCUUUUGAAAAUGUACACCUAUUCUCUACGUUUGCCACUAGGAGGCAAGGUCUCCUGGGGCUACACGUGCACAACCCAACUGAAUUGAGUUCAUGGAAAAAGUCACGCUCAAGUUCGUGAGAAACAAACAUAAAGAGUUGGCCUCAGACUGCAAAUCUUAAGUCUCUCCCAAUUGGUGAAGGAGUAUAUGUGACUGGGCAAGAAAGUAAAGAAAGCUGUAGUGAAGAAAUCUCCCAGGGGCACAGGCAGGGCUCAUAGCUCAGUGGUAGAGCAUCUGUUUUCCGUGCAGAAUGUCCUAGGUUCAAUCCCUGGAAUCUCAAUAUAGGAUUGGGAGAGACACAAUGCUGGAGUACUGCUGUUGCUCAGUAUAGAUACUACUGAAUUAGGCAGUGUUUGAACAAUACAGAGUGAGAGGGACCAAUGUUUUGACUCUGUAUAAGGCAGGUUUCUGUGUUGUUUCAUUGGAAGGGUCAUUGCUCAGUGGUAUAGCAUGUAGAAGAUUCCAGGUUGACUGCUGAGCAUCUCCAGGUAGGGCUAGAGGAGAGACCCCUACCUGAAACCCUGGAGGGAUGCUGCCAGUCAGUGUUGAAAUACUGAGCUGGCUGGACCAAUGGACUGGAUUAAUAUAAGGUAAAUUCCUACCUUCCUAUGGGACUGUUUAAAAAUUUCAGACCAAGGAAGACCUUUUGGAAGACCUUUUAGAAUUCUUCUUGCCUUUUCUGAUAAUGGCAACAGAUACGAAGCAGAUCCCAGCAUUUGUGUGGUGGAAACCUAAGAAUAGCAUCCUUGCCUACAGAUAUCUUAUGUGUAUAAUAGGUUUGAAGAAGGCUGAGGAGACUUGCAAGUAACCUAGAAGGGCUAUAAAUAUGUAAUGCACAAACACAACAGAAUUGCAGCACGAUACCUUGGCUUAUUCCAGAUUCCAAGCAAUGCGGUUUCAGCCACUGCUGCCGUUUGUGGUGGGCUGCAACUAUGCAGAGACAAAGUGGAUUCGACUGCAGAGACGGAGGGCGUCCCUGGCAUGUGCUCUUGCCACUCAGCCUUGUUCCCUCUUCCCCCAUCAUUUGACUGCAUCAGCCUCAAUAUUUAAUAUCCAUAAGCCCCACAAAAGCUUUUGUGAACUUCACAGGGAUUUGCAAUGUAAUGUAAUUUAAGCCACUAAAAUAAGGAGAUGAAUGUUGUCCAUGUGCCAAACACAAUGAAAACCCCACUUGGAUCUAGUGUUAAUUUUGAAGUGAAGUGGCUGUUGAAAUCCAGGCUAGACAUUGCUCAUUUUAUUGGGGGCGGACAAAUUGCCAGUAAGUGAAAAAGACCCUGCUAAAUUAUUUCUCAUUGCAUUUUUAUACACAAGGAAUAGGCCAGGGAUGGGGAACUUGUAGCCCUCCAGAUUUCACUGAACUCCAUCUCCCAUCAGUCCCAGCUAGCAUGGCCAACGGUCAGACAAGACUGGAGUUGUACUCCAGCAACAUCUGGAGGCAAAGGUGCCAACUUGUGAGGGUGAUUGGGGGGGGAUGUCAUAUGUGUGACAUCAGGAUAUUGGGAGGAGCCAGGGUGGAGCUGAACAUGGCGGCCACAAGGCACAAUGCCUGGUGGCCCCUCCUCCUACUUUUGGCACUGCCACUGGUGGGAGGCAGCUUUGACCCUCCUUCCCCUCCAUAGCAGGAGGAGGAAGAGAAGGAGCUGGCCACGGAGGCAUGCCAUGCUCGGCUCCAUGCUUUGGCUUCAUUGUUUCAUGAAUGGGGUAGGGGGCAGCACAUGAGGGGCUGCCCCUGCCCCCAAAAUAUAAGGGGGCCCAAAGGGCUUGGCUCCUGGAAGUUGAUGCCCUUGUCUGGAAGGCCACAGGUUCUCCUUCCCUAUAGUUUAGAGCAGUGGUUCUCAAAGGGUGUGGCCUGCCACACUGGUGUGGCAGGAAGAUUCAAGGACAAUCAAUAUUUGACAGAGGCCGUGCUGAGGAGGAUUGCACUGAGGAGGAAUGGUGGGAGCUGCCCCCUCCCCCUGACCUUGAAUCUUCCCAAGAGCAGGAUUUAGAAUAGAUUUAGAAUAGUGGUUUGAAGAAGGGCAUAGUUCAGAAGACAGAAGCUGGAAAAUACUGGAUGGGGAACCGCUAGGAGAAGAAACACUGGAAGAGAGAGGGUUAACAGAUUCACAGUCUCUGGACAGAAUCCCCAACCCCAAGGACCCGGAGAACUCAGACAGUGUUAGAACAGAAAGCACAGAGGGUACAAACUCAGAUUACAAAACGUAGGAGUAAUGUAGAUUACAUAAUAGGAAUGGAGGGGCAAACCUUAAUUGGGAGCACCACCAGUCUAAGGAGAUGCUUUCUUUUCUCUCUCGCUGUGUUUAUUAAAGAAACUAACUGGUAAGACUUUCCUUUUGUUUGAUCUGCUAUUUACUGCCACGGGGGAGUCAGCCGAUUCCCCGAAGCCCACCAAUAUAAUAUUUUAGGAUGUUCUUAUGUAGUUGCAUUGUUUUAUACUUUCUCAAUGUCACACAAUCAUAUUAUAAAGUCGUUGUGUUCUAUGCUAUAAAUACAAGCACUGCUAGGAGUUGUUUUGUUUCCUUUUUCCAAUGUACUUCUUAUCAAUAAAAAAUUUAGUGUGUUGC